This 868-nucleotide ribosomal RNA is filed under the name uncultured archaeon. RNAcentral's name for it is "bacterial SSU rRNA". It matches the Rfam family "Archaeal small subunit ribosomal RNA", at positions 1 to 878 of the family's 1478-position model. The record is from RNAcentral.
CUCCGGUUGAUCCCGCCGGACCCGACUGCUAUCAGAGUGAGAUUAAGCCAUGCGAGUCAACGUAGCAAUACGUGGCACACGGCUCAGUAACACGUAGUCAACAUAACCAAAGGACGUGGAUAAACUCGGGAAACUGAGGCUAAACCGCGAUAGAUCAAGAUAUCUGGAAUGGUUUUUGAUCGAAAUCUAUAUGGCCUUUGGAUUGGACUGCGUCCGAUCAGGCUGUUGGUGAGGUAAUGGCCCACCAAACCUGUAACCGGUACGGGCUCUGAGAGGAGGAGCCCGGAGAUGGGUACUGAGAAAAGGACCCAGGCCCUAUGGGGCGCAGCAGGCGCGAAACCUCUGCAAUAGGCGAAAGCCUGACAGGGUUACUCUGAGUGACUUUCGCUAAGAAAGUCUUUUGACAUCUCUAAAAAUGGUGUAGAAUAAGGGGUGGGCAAGUCUGGUGUCAGCCGCCGCGGUAAUACCAGCACCCCGAGUGGUCGGGACGAUUAUUGGGCCUAAAGCAUCCGUAGCCGGUUUUACAAGUCCUCCGUUAAAUCCAGCUGCUUAACAGAUGGGCUGCGGAGGAUACUAUAAGACUAGGAGGCAGGAGAGGCAAGCGGUACUCAGUGGGUAGGGGUAAAAUCCGUUGAUCCAUUGAAGACCACCAGUGGCGAAGGCGGCUUGCCAGAAUGCGCUCGACGGUGAGGGAUGAAAGCUGGGGGAGCAAACCGGAUUAGAUACCCGGGUAGUCCCAGCUGUAAACGAUGCAGACUCGGUGAUGGACUAGCUUUAUGCUAGUCCAGUGCCGCAGGGAAGCCGUUAAGUCUGCCGCCUGGGUAGUACGGUCGCAAGACUGAAACUUAAAGGAAUUGGCGGGGGAGCA